AUUCCUGAAUCAGAAUGAUGAGAUGAAUCAUCAGACAUCGGGGACCCAUGCAUGAUUCCAGAACUAGCGAGAGGACUGCUAGAUGAGAUCCGCCCAUCUCGAACCACUUUAGAAUUCUCACUCCCAACCCUGAGAGGACCAAUUUGAGGUGAAACAAUAUUUCCAUGAGGCUUAUGCUGGUUCUGGUUAGAAAAACCACCAACGGAAUCUUUAAUAUUAGUCAAUGAGGGUAAGGAAUUUAUCAAAGAACUAGUCUGAGGCUUCCAAUAUGCAGCAGCAAUAGAUUUCAGGUACUUGUUGUGGCCAAAAGCAAACCUUGCUAAAGCUGAAAGUAGAAAGAAAACCUAUGUAAGAUAUCUUAGAUUCAGCCUACCAGUCCAUCCAUACCAUAAAGACAACAUAUGUUAAUCUUAAACAGAUGCACAAGCCAACCAUCUAACCAUGCAUAAGAUUUAGCAAUCAUCAUUAAAAAAAUCAGAUAAUAAAUCAAAAACACAAAUUAAAAAAACAAUAUGAUGGUUUUCAAUGCAUGUUUAACCAUUUUAUCAUUGGAUUUUUCUUUUUCAUUCGAAUUUUUAUUCCUUUUUCUAACUUCAAGUCUAUUAGCCGAUAAUAGCUUGUCUGAAGAUGAUUAAGAAUUUGUUGAGACCAUAACUAAAAACAAAGAAAAAAUAAUUAACUCGCAGUAUCAGUACUAUCCAUCUUAUCAUAAUCGUAAUAAUAUAGAACAUUUUUUCAACAACAUUCAAAUUAAAAUAUAAUUCAGAUAUUUAAUCACCUACCCACUGCAACCUCAGCCCUCACCAACGGACUCCCAUCUGAAGCAACACUCAACAGACUCUUAACUAUACUAACUUCAGCCCUAAACUUGCCAUCAUCAUCACAUUCUUCACCUCCUCCAACACUUCCACAUGAAUCAAAUCCCACAUCAAGAAGUGUGCCCAGUGCAAAAACAGCAGAUGCUCUAACCUGAGAAGCAAUAAAUUACAUGACUUGAUUAUUUAAAUAUUAAAAAAAAAUUUAAUCAUCUUGCAAUGAGAACUAGAAAAAGUAUAGUAAGUGUGGCAGUACCUCUGGCUGGGGUUCAGAAAGUAGAGGAGCAUAUAUAGAAGUAGCAUCUUCAUGCAAACCGAUUGCUUGCGCCUCUGUGUAGUCUUCCCACAAUUUCCCCAGACACAAGCACAGCCACUGAAGGAAAAGGGGUUCGGUUUGUGAAUCAUUGAGAGAUGAGCUCUGAAGGUGCUUUAAGCAGACUUGGAUCAAACCAGCUUCAAUACAAGCUUCUUGACCUCUUCUAUGACCAUCCACAAUCACAGCUAAAACAAAAGCAGCCAUUGCUCGUUGCUCUGGAUAUGCUUCCAUGCUAUCAAGAAACUUAAUAAAAUAGAUAUGACCUCCAUCUUUCACUAGAGCAACCUGACAUGACAACAACACGUAUGGAACAUCAAAAUUGAAAGACACAGUCAACAUAAAGCAUGAAGGGUUUCAACACCAAAUUGUAGCAGAAAAAUAGAAAAUGAGAUACAUAUUAGAAGACAAAAACAUGAAGCCUUGUAAUAUUCACAAUUGUUCAAUUAUCAAUUCGAAUUUAUAUUAUAUAAUUAUAUAACUAAGCACCAAUAAAAGGCAUGAUCGCAUGAACCCCCCCCCCCCCAAACUUUUACACUUUUGGAAAGUACUCGGCGGCCAAGGUUAGCAAUGCGGGGCGAUGGAUCUUUUGCUAAAGUACACAUAGCAAGUACACAUUGUGAAUAUAAUGCAUUAUCCAAGGGUUUUGGCCCAGUGUGGUUAACCACUCCAUUACUGAAACCAUCAUUCAAUAUUCCUGAAUCAGAAUGAUGAGAUGAAUCAUCAGACAUCGGGGACCCAUGCAUGAUUCCAGAACUAGCGAGAGGACUGCUAGAUGAGAUCCGCCCAUCUCGAACCACUUUAGAAUUCUCACUCCCAACCCUGAGAGGACCAAUUUGAGGUGAAACAAUAUUUCCAUGAGGCUUAUGCUGGUUCUGGUUAGAAAAACCACCAACUGAAUCUUUAAUAUUAGUCAAUGAGGGUAAGGAAUUUAUCAAAGAACUAGUCUGAGGCUUCCAAUAUGCAGCAGCAAUAGAUUUCAGGUACUUGUUGUGGCCAAAAGCAAACCUU
This 2139-nucleotide long non-coding RNA is filed under the name Lotus japonicus. RNAcentral's name for it is "long non-coding RNA (LJAP_LNC001125)". The record is from RNAcentral. Lineage: Eukaryota; Viridiplantae; Streptophyta; Magnoliopsida; Fabales; Fabaceae.